This 301-nucleotide ribosomal RNA is filed under the name uncultured bacterium. RNAcentral's name for it is "partial 16S ribosomal RNA". It matches the Rfam family "Bacterial small subunit ribosomal RNA", at positions 509 to 809 of the family's 1533-position model. The record is from RNAcentral.
CAGUAGCCGCGGUAAUACGUAGGGUGCAAGCGUUAUCCGGAAUCAUUGGGCGUAAAGAGCUCGUAGGCGGUUUGUCGCGUCUGCUGUGAAAACUGGAGGCUCAACCUCCAGCCUGCAGUGGGUACGGGCAGACUAGAGUGCGGUAGGGGAGAUUGGAAUUCCUGGUGUAGCGGUGGAAUGCGCAGAUAUCAGGAGGAACACCGAUGGCGAAGGCAGAUCUCUGGGCCGUAACUGACGCUGAGGAGCGAAAGCGUGGGGAGCGAACAGGAUUAGAUACCCGCGUAGUCCCUGUCUCUUAUAA